GAUGAACGCUGGCGGCGUGCCUAAUACAUGCAAGUCGAGCGAACGGACGAGAAGCUUGCUUUUCUGAUGUUAGCGGCGGACGGGUGAGUAACACGUGGAUAACCUACCUAUAAGACUGGGAUAACUUCGGGAAACCGGAGCUAAUACCGGAUAAUAUUUUGAACCGCAUGGUUCAAAAGUGAAAGACGGUCUUGCUGUCACUUAUAGAUGGAUCCGCGCUGCAUUAGCUAGUUGGUAAGGUAACGGCUUACCAAGGCAACGAUGCAUAGCCGACCUGAGAGGGUGAUCGGCCACACUGGAACUGAGACACGGUCCAGACUCCUACGGGAGGCAGCAGUAGGGAAUCUUCCGCAAUGGGCGAAAGCCCGACGGAGCAACGCCGCGUGAGUGAUGAAGGUCUUCGGAUCGUAAAACUCUGUUACUAGGGAAGAACAUAUGUGUAAGUAACUGUGCACAUCUUGACGGUACCUAAUCAGAAAGCCACGGCUAACUACGUG
Molecule: ribosomal RNA, 497 nt
Filed under: uncultured bacterium
Lineage: Bacteria
Description: partial 16S ribosomal RNA
Rfam family: Bacterial small subunit ribosomal RNA
Source: RNAcentral